UAUUUUUACUCAGCUUUGUAACGAGUAAAACUUGGAAGUUUAUUGUUAGGGUUGAGGAGAGAUUGCAAUAUCUAGUAAGUCUUGCACCAUCCAAGUGAUUAUUCAAAGAAGGUAUAGCCAUUAUUACCAUGUCUGAACGCGCUUUGAAGCCACUUUGCGAAAUUAUACUUUUAAAAACGAGUUUACUGAAAAUAGAGAAAGCCUCUGAGGAAGCAAUGUGCCAGGGAGACUUAUGUUAAACAAAGAAAAUUAUAACUUUUAAUAUAGCU
Long non-coding RNA from Zophobas morio, 269 nucleotides. RefSeq lists it as uncharacterized. NCBI's taxonomy places the organism in Eukaryota, Metazoa, Arthropoda, Insecta, Coleoptera, Tenebrionidae. The transcript is spliced from 3 exons. The record is from RefSeq and is a predicted model, not a curated record.